This 273-nucleotide ribosomal RNA is filed under the name Triticum aestivum (bread wheat). RNAcentral describes it as "partial small subunit ribosomal RNA". The record is from RNAcentral. Lineage: Eukaryota; Viridiplantae; Streptophyta; Magnoliopsida; Poales; Poaceae.
CACAAAUUUCUUCCUGGGAAGAAGUCUUUUUACACGGUGGGCCUGGCGGCCACCUGUUGGGCUAUAUGGUUGGCGCGCAAUCGGGCCACUUUUGAAAAAAAACAAAUCAAGACUCCUUUUGAGAUUGUGUUUUCUCUGUGCUCCUUUCUGUUAUACUGGACAGGUCUACAGCAAGGGGAUGCCGCCAGGGAGCUGCGUACGGGUGUAGAGAUGAUCAGGGCUAGCACAAUGCAGCUGAUGAAGAUGUGCGACGCCACCAAGCAAACAAUCUAG